Molecule: ribosomal RNA, 772 nt
Filed under: Rhantus grapii
Lineage: Eukaryota; Metazoa; Arthropoda; Insecta; Coleoptera; Dytiscidae
Description: partial 16S ribosomal RNA
Rfam family: Bacterial large subunit ribosomal RNA (bases 1-564)
Source: RNAcentral
AUUUAAGGUCUGGCCUGCCCACUGAUUUUUGAAGGGCCGCAGUAAUUUGACUGUGCAAAGGUAGCAUAAUCAUUAGUUUUUUAAUUAAAAGCUUGUAUGAAGGGUUGGACGAGGUAAAAUCUGUCUCUAUUAAAAUUAUUAUAGAAUUUAAUUUUUAAGUUAAAAAGCUUAAAUUUAUUUAAAAGACGAGAAGACCCUAUAGAUCUUUAUAUAAAUUUUAUUAAUUUUAAUUAAGAAUAUUUUAUUAAUUAAUAUUUUUUGUAUUUUAUUGGGGUAAUAAAAAGAUUUAAAAAAUUCUUUUUAAAUUUAAACAUUAAUUUAUGAUUAAAUGAUCCAGUAUUUCUGAUUAAAAGAUUAAGUUACCUUAGGGAUAACAGCGUAAUUUUUUUAGAGAGUUCAUAUCGAUAAAAAAGUUUGCGACCUCGAUGUUGGAUUAAAAAUUAUCUUAGGUGCAGAAGUUUAAGAUUUUGGUCUGUUCGACCAUUAAAUUUUUACAUGAUCUGAGUUCAGACCGGCGUAAGCCAGGUCGGUUUCUAUCUUUAAUUAAUGAUUAUAUUUUAGUACGAAAGGACCAAAUAUUUAAUAUAUAUAUAUUUAAUUUUUUGAAUAUUAUUAAUUACUUUGGCAGAAUAGUGUAAUGAAUUUAGAAUUCAAUAAUGUAAAAUUUUUUACAAGUAAUAUUGUUUUAUAUAGAUUUGUUAUUUUCUUUAAUUUGUAUUUUAUUAUUAGUUAUUUGUGUUUUAGUGGGCGUUGCUUUUUUAACUUUAUUAGA